GUGAGUCCUUCUCCUUAAUUCCCUCUCUAAAGGCCUCUAGCGGAAAAAAUGCACAGCCAAAAAUGAACCCAAGACAUAUGGAGGGAAAAAAAUACACAAUUUCUCAGAACUGUCCUUUGCUUUCCCAUCAGUUUUAUCACUGACCUUUAGCUAAACUCUGAAGAGAAAUGAAAUCUUCAACUUGAUAAUUAAAAACACCAAUAUGUUUAUUAUGAAACUUCCUUUUGGAUAGCACUAGCAGCUUAAGACUCCUGGAAAGAGAAAAAAAAAUGCUUUGGCCAAAGAUCAUGCCAUCAAAAGAAAGAAAGUUAACAGUCAAUGAGAUGAGCCUAGGAAUAAUAUUUGCUUGCAGAAAGAACAAUUUCAUUUUCUAUAACUUGCAAAUGCAAAAAAGUAAGCAUUUAACAAUAUUUACCAAGAAAUAAAAUAGGAAAAAAAUCCCGGUAAAGCCCAAAGAUUUUCCCAUAAAAUAGAUUCUAUAACAUUUUCAAACACUGACAUUUUUUCUCCAACGUGAGUAAUAAGCUUUUGAAUGCUAAUUCAAUAAGAUUUCUCUUAUCCUCUCACUAAGAAUGCACAUGAUCAGAAAUUAGAACAGUGUCUCAUUUGGCUCUGUAUAAACUUUUACUUCUGCUCUUAGAAGAAAGAAAUGUCCUUCCUUGGAUUACAGGAACAAGUGUGAAAGGAAAUUAAAGAAAUAAAAAGUCAUCUGCAGAGAAUUCUCCUUAGACAACAUGCUAGUAAACUCUGGCAUCUUCUGGAAUCCGAAAACUUUCCAUUAUACAUAGCAUAUAUUCAAGACAAAUAGCAGUCAGAAACUGAAAGCUCAGAGAUGUCUGCAAAAAAGAAAUCAUGCACAGAAAAUCUGAGGUCUACAGGAGUGCCAUCGGCCUGAUUUCGGAAAGGCUGGCAAAUCUUUCACGGGUUUCCUCUCAUCCUGGCUGUAUGCUGAAAAUAAAAUAGCUGGAUCCUUGUAUCUGCUUUUGCAUUCCAUCUGCGGUUGUAUUAUAUGCCACGUAGUCUCUGGAAACCUACGAGAGAAGAGGAUGAAAGGCAAAUGACGUCUUAGUAUGACUGUGAAAAGAGUGUUGCCCUCAUAGACCCCAUUGAAGCUUCUCAGGGAUCCCAUGGAUUCCCGGACCACCCUUUGAGAAACUUCUGGGGUAAAAGAUAAAUUGGAUAAAUGUGCCCACGUUUCCAUCAUCUGGACGUAUUUUUUUAAUUAUUAAAACAUUUUAAAACAUGUUUAAUCAUUCAGAAUACUACACGGCAAACAUUGUAACAAAUAUCUACAGUUUGUCUUAUUUCUUUCACAUUAAAAAUAAUAGUUCCUUACUCAAAAACCACUCCAUUUUGUUUCUCCUCAAAGGCAAAACUGUGAGAACUUCUUUUCAAAUUUCAAAUUUUCUUAGAUUCCUACAGGAUCAUAGUUGGAAAUUAAAUAUUUUUAAGAAAUAUAUGGCAAAUUGGUGACACGAAUUAUGUAACACUUUUAAAAAUGGAUGUUAGCAAUCGUUAUAGCAUCUCUAUAGCACUGACAAACUGCAUAUGGAAAGAUAUUAAUUUGGUGCUUAGGCCAUGCACCAAGAACAGAUAUAUUGUGGCAAAGCCUACAUUGAUUCCAUCAUUCACUAGGGUUCAGUGUUCUCUCUGUUAGAAACCACUGAAGUAAAUGAUCCUUAAGAUACACAGUAG
RNAcentral lists this long non-coding RNA (1695 nucleotides) under Equus caballus (horse). RNAcentral's name for it is "lncRNA (ENSECAG00000046797.1)". The record is from RNAcentral. Lineage: Eukaryota; Metazoa; Chordata; Mammalia; Perissodactyla; Equidae.